Phyllopteryx taeniolatus (common seadragon) is the source of this 404-nucleotide long non-coding RNA. RefSeq lists it as uncharacterized. The transcript has 3 exons. The record is from RefSeq and is a predicted model, not a curated record. NCBI's taxonomy places the organism in Eukaryota, Metazoa, Chordata, Actinopteri, Syngnathiformes, Syngnathidae.
UCACUGGCAGAACGGAAGCGCGCAUUCGACAACACACGUUUCAAAACAUUUUGACUAGUUAUUUUUCGAAUAUUUUCAGUCUUCGUGCAAUGUUUGAGUCUGACCGCAUUAGCAACCUAAAUUAAGUUCGUAUGUUAAAAGGAAAUGUGGCGGUAUUUUCAACUCAAGCAAUCACUCCAUGUAUCCCAACUGACAAGUCUGACCACAUCCUGGAUUGGUUGCCACUUGCCAGUCAAUCACAGGGCAAAUAUCGACGGAUAACCAUUCACACUCACACUGUCAUUGGGUGGGAAUUGAACCCAUGCUAUCAGAAGAAGAGUAGCAUUGGUUGUGAGCCCACAUGACCCAAGCGCUUGGCAGUCAUCAUGGUAGUGACACUGAGGGUAUGCGCUGAUAAUGUCAUA